CUCUCUGAGACAGACGCCAUGGAGCCAGCUGCCAGGUCAUACAUGCUGAAUCUUUCCUGGGGUGAGUCACCAUUUGGAAUAGUAGACUCCGUGGCUACCCUUGGAAAGAUGUGCUGGUAGCAGGUGCCAAGAAUACUUAACUAAGUACUAAAACCAGGUCUAAGCUAGCCGGGCAGCUGGGACCAAAUAAGUGACCUCUACCCAACAAAACUCAGAUGCGAAGACAUCAGAAAGAGGGCAUGCAACUGUACGUGGGAAAGAAUUGAGAGGUAAAAUGUGGGCAUCUAUAAAGGUGAUGAUUGAUUUCCCUGCAGUAAAGCUGGAAAAGCAGAAGUAGAAAUGGCAGACAAAACAUAGUUAUACUUAGUAAAGGAUGGCUAAAAACUGGGCUAUUACCGCAUCUUCCCCCCACCAUAGAAGAAGUGAUCACCCCAAGUAAGGUGGCCCUUAAUGAGCACUGCCCACAGAUUGGGCAGCAUGCUAUGGGUUUUCCCCAUGGAUUGCCUUCUCUCAGCAGUUUCAAGUCUGCUGCAUAACUAUCUGCAGUUUAAAGAUGGUGGCGUGGAGGUUUGAGCAGGCUUGUGUUCAUAUACCACCUCUAGACUGCCCAAUAGAGCCAGGACUCCUUCGAGAAGACCACUCCAGCACUGUGCCUUUAGCUCUUUGGAGUAGUGACUGCAUUGGGAGAGUUUGGCUUGAGUUCUACCAUUAAUAUGGUUAAACCCAGAAACAUUUUCUAGAAUCCUUAAGAGCAUCUUCCUGCCUCUGAAAUGUCUAAAUACCUUCCUUUAUUUUAGGGCUACUGUGAAGUCACAAAUGGCAAAAAAAAAAAAAAAAAAACCUUUUUUUCUUUUUUCUUUUAACCACUGUAGAAAAUCUGUUGUUUCUUGACUGUUUUUCUUGCAGAGAUCACACAUGGUGGUGAGUAUAUGUUUCCUUCUUCAGAGCUUGCACCGGCCCAGCAGUGUGAAUUCUGUGAGCCAUGUAUUGACUGCACAGUUCCUAAAGCCUAUAGCCUACAAUUAAUGAGACUGGGGUGGACACCUGACCCUGGAAAAGCCAGUGGGAUGCUCUUGAGUAAACAUUCAGGCAUUUGUAACUGGAUCUGAGUGGGGUAAAUUCAGUCUAAGUGCCCCCCCCCUUUAAAAAAAUAUUUAUCCAUUCUCAUUCUCUCUCUCUCUCUCUCUCUCUCUCUCUCUCUCUCUGUGUGUGUGUGUGUGUGUGUGUGUGUGUCUGUGUCUGUGUGCAUGCACACAUACACCAUGGUACGCAUGUGGAAGUCAGGACAAUUUUGUGGAGUCUGUUCUCUCUUCUUCUUCUGAGUUUUGGGAAAGGGUCACCGAGCUCAGGCAGUGAGCACCUGUGACCCACUGAGCUAUCUCACUGGCCAAAGCUGCUUCUCUGAAAAGAAACACACAAUGAGAAACUGAAGGUACCGACCUCCUCCCAUAUACACAAGAAAACAAUUAAAACUCUAUUUGGAGAAGGAGGCUCUCAAGACAGGCAGUGCCUUUAACAGAUGCACACACAAGCGUAAAAGGUGGAGAAUUUGAAAGGCCAGGUCUCUUGACCUGAGCU
This is a long non-coding RNA of Arvicola amphibius (Eurasian water vole), 1578 nucleotides long. RefSeq lists it as uncharacterized. The transcript is spliced from 3 exons. The record is from RefSeq and is a predicted model, not a curated record. NCBI's taxonomy places the organism in Eukaryota, Metazoa, Chordata, Mammalia, Rodentia, Cricetidae.